This is a long non-coding RNA of Bicyclus anynana (squinting bush brown), 5131 nucleotides long. RefSeq lists it as uncharacterized. NCBI's taxonomy places the organism in Eukaryota, Metazoa, Arthropoda, Insecta, Lepidoptera, Nymphalidae. The transcript is spliced from 12 exons. The record is from RefSeq and is a predicted model, not a curated record.
AGUGGGCCGACUUAGGCCGAUUAGAUAACAGCAAACAGAAAACAGGUAUAGCGAUCUAAGACAGCCCGCACAUCUGUGCAACUAAAUCACACACAAUUAAAAAGUCGGCCACCCUUAGUCGAGUACGAACGCUUUUUGGGCGGUAAAUCAACAACACUUUUUGGAUUUACCCUUAGACCAUUAAAAAGAAAGGACCUGCCUCGUAAACCGUUACCCCUCUGUCAAAGAUCAAGAAUCAAUGAUCUAACGCGUUUAUAAAAACUGUUGCUAUAGAAUCGAUGUUUCAUUGUUGUGAUCGUUUUCGUCGUUUAAAGAGCUCCCUAAAUAUGCCGGUAUGUGUAGUUGAAUGGCAUAAAAAACGGCCAAAAACUUGUAGUUUAGUAAAAGAUGGAGUAACGUUUCAUUUGUAAGUAUUUCUACCAUAAUUUUAUCAAAUUUGUAAUAAAAACGAUUUCUAAAAAGAAUCGAUUCUUUUGACGGAACAGCAAAAAAUCGAUCAAGUAGGUAAUCGAACAUUCUAUAUGUAUAUUCUGUUAGACACAGAAAAUAUUUAAUUGUGUUAAAUGUUUUCGAUGUGUGAGUUUACCUCGUCCCCCUCAAAAAACGACACACAUUUUUGUUGGUGAAUUUGCGUGCAAAACAGGAAAAAUGAAUGGAUUCUUUUUAAUGGUCUAAGGAUUUACCGCCCAAAAAUUGUUCGUACUCUACUAAAAUAAUAUUAAAGUAGGUAUAGGAGUCCCAAAGAGUAAAUUAAUUUAAGAGUAGUCCGAAUAAAAAAAAAGCACUUGAUAUCAUACUUGUACCGAAUCGUAAAUCUAUGCUUGAUACUGGCUCAAUCGCUCGACGCGCGGUGCCAUAGAACCAAGAGAAGAAGAAGAAGAAGAAGAACUAAGCCUUACUCUUUGAUUUGACAUUGACAUUGACUGUUUGUGUUUGUCUUUGGUUCAAUGUUCACUUCAUGUUGUUUUUUGCAUUUUUUUUAUAGUUUCAAUUGAAAAAUAUAACUUUGUGUAAUGGGUGUGACUGUGAUGACGAGAUGAAUCAGGCCGGGUCAACUCUCGAACAAAGUUUGGUUAUACCUACGGGGGCUAGACCUGUGGUGUCAUCAUCCAUACGGUUCUACCGUCUGGUAGUUGUAGCAAUAUUAUUAUCGUUAGUAGCUCACGCCUGACAUAAUAUUUUGAUAAAUCUAAUACAUUUUUAGAUUUAAAUAUGACUUUAAUAACUGAAUAAAUACUUUUCUUCUACAAAAAUAUAGAGAGACACUCUCGUUGAAUAUUGUUUUAGUAACGAAUAUGUAAGAUUUUCUAAACGAAGUGUGGCAACCCCAAUUACUUAAUAAAAAAUAAAUAUGUUAUAAAAUGAAAAUGGCGUCAUUUCACCAAAUAAAACACGAAUUCACGAAUAAUAAAAUAAAUGUUUGCCACGGCCUGUUAAUAUUUAUGAAGACCUCUUCAUGGAUUGGAUUUAAGCAACCUGCUGUGUAAUAUCCUCGCCAUUCUUGAUGUUGAGAAGAUCUAUAAAUCUUUUGCGUUUCAUCUGAGUGUUGUGGUUUUUCAUUAUGUUAAACAUAAGACUUUGUUAGUUCAAGUGUCUCUAUAACUAUGAAGAAAAACAAAAGAAAAUGCUUUGAGUGUGGUUCUUCGCCUGCCGAUGAUCCAGAGAAGACCCUACAGAGAUUACAGAAAUUUGAUUCUACAAAUUUAGUCUCCGAUGCAAUGCACCCCAAAUAACUGUCUGACCUGCAGCUGUCUGAAUGUUUACUUCUCUGGAUCUACUGAACAGAUUUUCAUUUGGUUAUCACAGGUAGCUUAAUCUGGAGCAACAUAAGGUUAAUUAUGAAAUGGUAAUGAAAAUAAACAUCUGAGAAAAGCAAAUUCCAUGAACUAAUUUGAAAGUAUCUGUUACCAGUUCAAUAUUAAACCACAGGUAUAUGUACUAAAGGCAGUAAUGUCCAGAUAAUCAAUGAUUAGACUAUUGGACUUUUAGAAUAAAUUUUACAUUGAACUAUGAAUGGUUUGUCAUCUACAUUUUUAAAAAAGACGAGAUGUUUUGCCUGUAAGAACAAGAGAGAGAGAGAAUAAGAAGCAAUCCUGCUUCUUCACAUGAAUUUCACAUGAAUUUUACCCGCAUGACGACGGUUUUUAAUAUAAAAAAUAUUUACACAAUGUCUCAAAAAGCAAUCAAAGCUUUCAAAAAUAAACAAUGUUCGCAGAAGUUCAGUACCAACAAACUCACAAAAAAUGAGCCCAAAAUUUAGCAUUACUUGCAAGCCAGACUAAGAAAUUUCAAGAAGAUAAUUUAAAAGAAGACAAUAGAAUAAAAUAAUAUUAAGACACAAUGCUUAGCAAAUAUAGCAUUAACAGAUGGAAACCAGGCAAUAGGUGUAGAAAAAUAGAAGAUGAAGGUCUAGCUGUGCCAGUCAGUGCUGAGCCACACAGUUGCUGCUGGCAUGUUUGCAAAAUAGCACAAGGUUUAGCAAAAUAGAAGAUGAAGUUCUAGCUGUGCCAGUCAGUGCUGAGCCACACAGUUGCUGCUGGCAUGUUUGCAAAGAGCACAAGGUGUAGCAAAAUAGAAGAUGAAGGUCUAGCUGUGCAAGUCAGUGCUGAGCCACACAGUUGCUGCUGGCAUGUUUGCAAAAUAGCACAAGGUGUAGCAAAAUAGAAGAUGAAGGUCUAGCUGUGCCAGUCAGUGCUGAGCCACACAGUUGCUGCUGGCAUGUUUGCAAAAUAGCACAAGGUGUAGCAAAAUAGAAGAUGAAGGUCUAGCUGUGCCAGUCAGUGCUGAGCCACACAGUUGCUGCUGGCAUGUUUGCAAAAUAGCACAAGGUGUAGGAAAAUAGAAGAUGAAGGUCUAGCUGUGCCAGUCAGUGCUGAGCCACACAGUUGCUGCUGGCAUGUUUGCAAAAUAGCACAAGGUGCUGUAAAAUGAAGAUAUAUUGUUAAAUAUCAUGAGAUAGAAAUAAAAGAUGAAUAUCUAGCUGUACCCGUCCCGAGCCACACUACUGCAGCCACGUUGCUGCUGGCAUUUUUGCAAAAUAGCACAAGGUCACAACAAUUGAUGUAACAAAUAUAAUCAAUGGACCAGGCACCUGCACCAUGAUUCUUUGGAAUACUAAAAUUCGUCUCUUUAUGUCUUACUUACUUACGUACUUCUCAUAAUGAAAAAUGUCACGUUUUUAUGAAAGAAAUAAUGGAAUCAAAUAAUAAAUAAAACAAGCAUAUGCUGGAAGUCCUCAGAAACAGCUCCGACUUUGAGGAUUUUUUUUAAAGUCAUGUUUUUUAUGUUAUUUAAAAUCAGAAAUGUUUUGGUGGACGAAAUUAUUUAAAUUGUUAAAAAAUAUCUAUGCUAUUUAUACAUAUUUUUUUUUAAAUACAACCGACUUCAAAAAUACAAACUUAUGCAGAAAAAAAACAAACGAAAGAAAAUAUUAUAAUAUUUUCUAUCUAUUGAUCACUUUGAAGGCGGUGCCAAUGGUCCAAUUAAUGGGCCGACAAUUAGUUAUCUAUUGUUUACUACCUAUAGGGCUCGAAUUGCUUUUUCAUAUCUUUAAAAUACUAUCUUCGGAAUGAACCCUUUAUAAUAAAAAAGUAUUAUCAAAAUCGGACCACUCAAUAAAAAGUUAUACUUGGUUGUAUACUAAAAUUAAUGGUUAAACAAUCAAUCAUCCCCUGUUUUCGUAAUGUAAAACCAAGAAUAACUGUUAACAUGAGUAGUCCGAUUUUGAUAAUUCUUUUGAUUGAUCAUUCUUGAUUGUUUUAGUUUAAAACCAAGCAUGUCUUCGAAUUCCGAUUUGAAUAACUUUGUUUUAAAUAGAAAGGGUAUAUUCCGACAAUGGUCCCAAAUCAUUAUAAAUUUAAAAAAAACGAAGAUGACUGGUUAUUUUCCCAUUAAUUGUAUUGUAAAACUAUGCGUAACUUAUUACGAAGUGAUCCGAUUUCGUAAAUUCUUUAUAGAUUGUAAAGGUAUUUUGAUUGUAAAGCUCCCAUAUAAAUUUUAAAAACAAUUCCAAUCCUAAAUGUGCGAUUGAUUGUUUUCUCAUUCAUUUUAAUGUAAAACCAAGCAUAACUUUUUAUUGGGUGGUUCGAUUUUGAUUAUUCUUUUUUUGAUAGAAAGGGUAUAUUCCUAAAAGUCUCAUAAAAUGUUGGAAAACAAUUUCAAACCUAAUAGUAGGAAAAUAGAAGAUGAUUAAUUGUUUUCCCAUUUAUUGUAAUGUUAAGCUAUGCGUAACUUUUUACUGAGUGGACCGAUUUUGAAAAUUCUUUACUUUUUGUAAAGGGUUUAUUUCGAAGUAGGUCCCAUAUAAAUCGGAAAACAAUUCGAAUCCUUAAGGUGGAAAAAAAACUGUACGAUUGAUUGCCUACCCAUUAAUUGUACAAUUGGCACCGGCUUCAAAGUAAUCAGUAGAUAUAAAAUAUUAUAAUGUUUUCUUCAGCUUAUUAGUUUACUGCAUAACUUUGUGUUUUUGAAGUCGGUAGUGUUUAUUUUUUAAUUAUUUAUUAUAUAAAUAGCAUAACUAUUGUUAAAUAGUAUAAAUCGUUCCAUCCUCACUCCAAAAGGUUUCUGAUUUCAAAUAAUAUGAAGAAACAAACUGAACAAAAAAAUCAUCAAAAUCAGAGCUGUUUCUGAAGAGGUAGAGGGUAAAUGCUCUAUUGACUCGCCUAAAAGUAAUAUUAUGUUAUCGCAUUAGGUUGUAAAGUUUGGCUAAUGAAAGUAGAGACUUAAAUUGCCCGCCAAAUUUAAAAAUCAUAUAAACAAAUUAAAAAACAUGCGUUUUCAUAAUUUAUUUAAAUUAGUUUUUCUUUGUGAAUACAUUAUUACCUAUACUAUAAGUGUUAAACUCAGUUAUUCCAAUAUUUGCACUAUAAUUUUGAGAAUUUACUCCGAUUUUUUAAAAUUUGGCGGGUGAUUUCAGUUAUAAUUGACUUGAUUUUCCCAAAUAUCUCAGUGAAGUCAAAUACCCAAUUGAUGCAUAGAUAUAUUUUUAUUUUGGUUUUCAUUUUACUUUAAAGAUAAAAUUUAGUUUUAGAAGCAAAAUGAAUAUAUGUAGAUUACAUUUUAGGUGCUGAUGUUUACUUAGUUAUUGAUUAAGUGCAUAAGAUUUUUUAUUUGAUAAUAAAGACAUUUCAAC